CCCGCUGAACUUAAGCAUAUCAAUAAGCGGAGGAAAAGAAACUAACAAGGAUUCCCUUAGUAGCGGCGAGCGAAGCGGGAAGAGCUCAAAUUUGAAAGCUGGCGUCCUUCGGGCGUCCGCAUUGUAAUCUAUAGAGGCGUUUUCUGUGCUGGACCGUGUCCAAGUCCCUUGGAACAGGGUAUCAAAGAGGGUGACAAUCCCGUACUUGACACGACAACCAGUGCUCUGUGAUACGUCUUCUACGAGUCGAGUUGUUUGGGAAUGCAGCCCAAAAUGGGUGGUGAAUUCCAUCUAAAGCUAAAUAUUGGCGAGAGACCGAUAGCGAACAAGUACCGUGAGGGAAAGAUGAAAAGCACUUUGAAAAGAGAGUGAAACAGUACGUGAAAUUGUUGAAAGGGAAACGCUUGAAGUCAGUCACACCGUUCAGGAUUCAGCCUUGCUUCUGCUUGGUUUACUUCCUGUUGGGUGGGUCAACAUCAGUUUCCAUCAGAGGAAAAAGGCUUCGGGAAGGUGGCAGCAUUCGUGCUGUGUUAUAGCCCUUUGCUGUAUACUUUGAUAGAGACUGAGGACUGCAGCACGCCUUCUGGCUGGGGUUCGCCCACAUACGUGCUUAGGAUGUUGGCAUAAUGGCUCUAAGCGACCCGUCUUGAAACACGG
RNAcentral lists this ribosomal RNA (657 nucleotides) under uncultured fungus. RNAcentral's name for it is "eukaryotic LSU rRNA". It matches the Rfam family "Eukaryotic large subunit ribosomal RNA", at positions 24 to 664 of the family's 3401-position model. Lineage: Eukaryota; Fungi. The record is from RNAcentral.